This 211-nucleotide long non-coding RNA is filed under the name Elaeis guineensis (African oil palm). Its description in RNAcentral is "long non-coding RNA (EGUI_LNC079314)". The record is from RNAcentral. Lineage: Eukaryota; Viridiplantae; Streptophyta; Magnoliopsida; Arecales; Arecaceae.
CAAACCGUGGUCGGUAUUGGAUGUCGAAUUCGCUCAGUCUCACAGUCCAUUUCGCCAGCCAUCCCGAUGUGUCAGGGCGGUGCAGGAUUGCUCUCAGGGGUUGGUCGGUGAGGACCACGAUAGCAUGUGCCUGGAAGUACGGACGGAGCCGCUGUGCUGAAAUGACCAGAGCGAAAAUCAUUUUCUCUGCCUUCGAGUACCGAGUCUCAGC